AAAAUCUGGCAGUGUUUCACUGUCCGAGUUGUAACCUAGAGAAGUGUAACCUGUGCUGGACCGUGUAUAAGUUUCCUGGAAUGGAGCAUCAUAGAGGGUGAGAAUCCCGUCUUUGACAUGGACUACCAGUGCAUUGUGGUUGUGCUCUCAACGAGUCGAGUUGUUUGGGAAUGCAGCUCUAAAUGGGUGGUAAAUUCCAUCUAAAGCUAAAUAUUGGCGAGAGACCGAUAGCGAACAAGUACCGUGAGGGAAAGAUGAAAAGAACUUUGGAAAGAGAGUUAAACAGUAUGUGAAAUUGUUGAAAGGGAAACGUUUGAAGUCAGUCGCGUUAGCUGGGGAUCAGCCUGACAUUGUUGGGUGCACUUCCUGGUUGAUGGGCCAACAUCAGUUUUGACUGCCAGAAAAAGGCCAAGGGAAUGUGGCACCUUUGGGUGUGUUAUAGUCUUUGGUCAUAUAUGGUGGUUGGGACUGAGGAACGCAGUGUGCCGAAAGGCCGGGUUUCGACCACGUUCACACUGAGGAUGUUGGCAUAAUGGCUUUAAGCGACCCGUCUUGAAACACGGACCAAGGAGUCUAACAUGCAUGCGAGUGUUUGGGUGGAAAACCCUUACGCGUAAUGAAAGUGAAAGUUGAGAUCCCUGUCGUGGGGAGCAUCGACGCCCGGACCAGAACUUUUGUGACGGAUCUGCGGUAGAGCA
This 698-nucleotide ribosomal RNA is filed under the name Amanita fuscosquamosa. RNAcentral describes it as "eukaryotic LSU rRNA". It matches the Rfam family "Eukaryotic large subunit ribosomal RNA", at positions 117 to 802 of the family's 3401-position model. Lineage: Eukaryota; Fungi; Basidiomycota; Agaricomycetes; Agaricales; Amanitaceae. The record is from RNAcentral.